UACAGGGGGGGCUAGCGUUAUCCGGAAUGAUUGGGCGUAAAGGGUCUGUAGGUGGUUCAUGAAGUUCAAUGUUAAAAACCAGGGCUCAACCCUGGGAAGGCAUUGAAGUACUCAUGGACUAGAGUGCGGUAGGGGUAGAGGGAACUCCGCGUGGAGCGGUGAAAUGCGUAGAGAUGCGGAGGAACACCAGUGGCGAAGGCGCUCUACUGGGCCGAGACUGACACUGAGAGACGAAAGCUGAGGGAGCGAAAAGG
This 254-nucleotide ribosomal RNA is filed under the name uncultured bacterium. RNAcentral's name for it is "partial 16S ribosomal RNA". It matches the Rfam family "Bacterial small subunit ribosomal RNA", at positions 524 to 776 of the family's 1533-position model. The record is from RNAcentral.